CCAGACUCCUACGUGAUUCAGCAGUGAGGAAUAUUUUUCAAUGGCCUAGAGGCUGAACCAGCCAAUUCGCUUUAUGGAAUACUGCCCUACGUGUUGUAAACCUCUUUUGUCGGGGAUCAAAUCUGACCACUUUUUGUUCAUUGAGAUUACCCGAAGAAAAAUCAUCGGCUAACUCCGUGCCAGCAGCCGCGGUAAUACGGAGGAUGCGAGCGUUAUCCGGAUUUAUUGGGUUUAAAGGGUGCGCAGGCGGAGGUGCAAGUUAGCGGUCAAAUUGCGGGGCUAACACACGUAAUGAAGUUGAAACUGCAUAAAUUGAGUGAGCGAGAAGUAUGCGGAAUGAGUGGUGUAGAGGUGAAAUGAAUAGAUAUAAAGCAGAAAUCCGAUUGAGAAGGAAGAAUACAGGAGAAAAAAUGAAGAUGAAGAAAGAAGGAGUGGGUAUCGAAAAGGAUUAGAUACCACAGUAC
RNAcentral lists this ribosomal RNA (464 nucleotides) under uncultured bacterium. RNAcentral describes it as "bacterial SSU rRNA". It matches the Rfam family "Bacterial small subunit ribosomal RNA", at positions 331 to 794 of the family's 1533-position model. The record is from RNAcentral.